Long non-coding RNA from Oncorhynchus tshawytscha (Chinook salmon), 432 nucleotides. Lineage: Eukaryota; Metazoa; Chordata; Actinopteri; Salmoniformes; Salmonidae. The record is from Ensembl.
GGUUUCUUUGCAGCAAUUUGACCAUGAAGACCUGAUUCACACAGUCUCCUCUGAACAGUUGAUGUUUGUUACUUGAACACUGUGAAGCAUUUCUUUGGGCUGCAAUUUCUGAGGCUGAUAACUCCAAUGAACUUAUCCUCUGCAGCAGAGGUAACUCUGGGUCUUCCUUUCCUGUGGCGGAUCUCAUGAGAGACAGUUAACUCUAAUGAACUUAUCCUCUGCAGCAGAGGUAACUCUGGGUCUUCCUUUCCUGUGGCGGAUCUCAUGAGAGACAGUUAACUCUAAUGAACUUAUCCUCUGCAGCAGAGGUAACUCUGGGUCUUCCUUUCCUGUGGCGGAUCUCAUGAGAGACAGUUAACUCUAAUGAACUUAUCCUCUGCAGCAGAGGUAACUCUGGGUCUUCCUUUCCUGUGGCGGUCAUCAUGAGAGACA